AGAGUAGGAGAAUUUCCAGAGAUUACUCCGGAAUCUCUACUAACUAAUAACUUAAAGACAAGUAAACAAAAUGUUCAGCAAUUGACCUCAGCGAGGCCUGAAUUUCAGUUUCCGCAGAGAACUGUUAGUCAUUCAACUCUGACAAAGAAAACUCUCCACCAUUGCAAGCAUUCACUUUUAGAUGGGACUCAGAUAAUUAGCAAAUCUACCUUCUGCGGCGGUGCUGAGUUCACUGGGGAGCUUGGAGACAAGGCAAGCAGAAGCAAUCGCAUUAUGGAGGGGCAAAAGUGAGCUCAAUUCUCGCCGAACAAAUCUUCCACUUGGAGAAGAAGGGGAAAUUCGGGACUGGCGGAAAGUCAAAUUGGGACGAGUCCAUGAGCGAAUCGAAGCUGAUAAAGGGAUUCUUCCGGUUGCUGAUUCGGUUGCAGUGGUGGCUCUCCAUGUUGCCCGCAUCAAGGUAGAUGUGGAUCUCCCCACAAUUGCCCAAGUCGCCAUUUUCCU
This 501-nucleotide unclassified non-coding RNA is filed under the name Hevea brasiliensis (rubber tree). Lineage: Eukaryota; Viridiplantae; Streptophyta; Magnoliopsida; Malpighiales; Euphorbiaceae. The record is from RNAcentral.